UCUGUAGGCGGAGAUUUAAGUUGAAUAUGAAAGACCGGAGCUCAACUUCGUGUUUGUGUUCAAAACUGGAUUUCUAGAAUUAGGGAGAGGUAAGCGGAAUUCUAAGUGUAGGAGUGCAAUCCGUAGAUACUUAGAGGAACACCAAAGCGAAGGCAGCUUACUGGAACUAUAUUGACGCUGAGAGACGAAAGCGUGGGUAGCGAAAG
Molecule: ribosomal RNA, 206 nt
Filed under: uncultured bacterium
Lineage: Bacteria
Description: partial 16S ribosomal RNA
Rfam family: Bacterial small subunit ribosomal RNA
Source: RNAcentral